Molecule: ribosomal RNA, 119 nt
Filed under: Cephalotus follicularis
Lineage: Eukaryota; Viridiplantae; Streptophyta; Magnoliopsida; Oxalidales; Cephalotaceae
Source: RNAcentral
GAGUGCGAUCAUACACGCAUUAAUGCAGUGGAUCCCAUCAGAACUUCGCAGUUAAGCUUGAUCUGGAUAGAGUAGUACUAGGAUGUGUGACUUCCUACGAAAUUCUCGUGUUGCACACC